Long non-coding RNA from Cucumis sativus (cucumber), 688 nucleotides. RefSeq lists it as uncharacterized. Lineage: Eukaryota; Viridiplantae; Streptophyta; Magnoliopsida; Cucurbitales; Cucurbitaceae. The record is from RefSeq and is a predicted model, not a curated record. The transcript has 2 exons.
GGGAAGCGUGGCAGUGUGUCAUCGUGAGUCAUUAGUUUUUCGAUAGUAUCGCCAUGAAUACUGUUUCAUCCUCAAUUCGAUUUGUGGUUUUGAUAAAGAGUACUUAAUUUUAUUUUUCUCUCUAUAGUUAAUUUUACUCAAUCUUAUUUUCUAUAAAAUCAAGCGCUUAACUAUAUAUAAAUUUGAACCAUAAGAAAAAGAAGAAAAAACAUAAGAAGAAAUUGAAAUUGAGAAAAAAUGAAAUCAUUUGUAAUUUGCUUGAUUAUCCUUAGCUUAUGUGGUGGAGGAUCCACAUCAACCAUUACAAAUUCCGCUACGAAUGCCAACCCUGAGGAUGCUGCUCGUCAAUUUUGCAACCUUGGUUGUGCCGCUUCUCUCUGCAGCCAAAUUUCCACCCUGCAAAACCCGAACCUGGAAAAAUCAGAGAGUUGUUAUAAAGGAUGUUAUCAAACUUGCAUGAAGUAGUGAUGCUAACAAAAGGAAUAUGAAGUAUGGUGAGAGGAGAAAGGAACUGUGAUUGACUUUUCAAGAUAAACAUACCAUACACGAAUAAUAAAACCAUUGGCUUAAAAGCCUAUUAUUUCAUAUUUAAACACAUUUUUUGUUUUGAUGUAAAUGUAGAUUCAUGCUUUUGAAUGUAGUUGAUUAUGAGCAAUAAAAAACAUCACAGUUUCUCUUUUUAUGCUAU